GUCCAGACUCCUACGGGAGGCAUCAGUGAGGAAUAUUGGUCAAUGGGCGAGAGCCUGAACCAGCCAAGUCGCGUGAGGGAUGACUGCCCUAUGGGUUGUAAACCUCUUUUGUAUGGGGGGAAUAAGCUUUACGAGUAGAGUGAUGACAGUACCAUACGAAUAAGCAUCGGCUAACUCCGUGCCAGCAGCCGCGGUAAUACGGAGGAUGCGAGCGUUAUCCGGAUUUAUUGGGUUUAAAGGGUGCGUAGGCGGUGUAGCAAGUUAGAAGUGAAAUACCUAGAGCUUAACUCAGGUGCUGCUUCUAAAACUGCUAUACUUGAGUGCAGUAGAGGAAAGUGGAAUUCCUAGUGUAGCGGUGGAAUGCGUAGAUAUUAGGAGGAACAUCAGUGGCGAAGGCGACUUUCUGGACUGUAACUGACGCUGAGGCACGAAAGUGUGGGGAGCAAACAGGAUUAGAUACCCCGGUAC
This 468-nucleotide ribosomal RNA is filed under the name uncultured bacterium. RNAcentral's name for it is "bacterial SSU rRNA". It matches the Rfam family "Bacterial small subunit ribosomal RNA", at positions 329 to 793 of the family's 1533-position model. The record is from RNAcentral.